GUCCACGCCGUAAACGAUGAUAACUAGCUGUCCGGGCUCAUGGAGCUUGGGUGGCGCAGCUAACGCAUUAAGUUAUCCGCCUGGGGAGUACGGUCGCAAGAUUAAAACUCAAAGAAAUUGACGGGGGCCUGCACAAGCGGUGGAGCAUGUGGUUUAAUUCGAAGCAACGCGCAGAACCUUACCAGCCUUUGACAUCCUAGGACGGCUUCUGGAGACAGAUUCCUUCCCUUCGGGGACCUAGUGACAGGUGCUGCAUGGCUGUCGU
This 265-nucleotide ribosomal RNA is filed under the name uncultured bacterium. RNAcentral's name for it is "partial 16S ribosomal RNA". It matches the Rfam family "Bacterial small subunit ribosomal RNA", at positions 793 to 1055 of the family's 1533-position model. The record is from RNAcentral.